GAUGAACGCUGGCGGCGUGCCUAAUACAUGCAAGUCGAGCGAACGGACGAGAAUCUUGCUUCUCUGAUGUUAGCGGCGGACGGGUGAGUAACACGUGGAUAACCUACCUAUAAGACUGGGAUAACUUCGGCAAACCGGAGCUCAUACCGGAUAAUAUUUUGAACCGCAUGGUUCAAAAGUGAAAGACGGUCUUGCUGUCACUUAUAGAUGGAUCCGCGCUGCAUUAGCUAGUUGGUAAGGUAACGGCUUACCAAGGCAACGAUGCAUAGCCGACCUGAGAGGGUGAUCCGCCACACUGGAACUGAGACACGGUCCAGACUCCUACGGGAGGCAGCAGUAGGGAAUCUUCCGCAAUGGGCGAAAGCCUGACGGAGCAACGCCGCGUGAGUGAUGAAGGUCUUCGGAUCGUAAAACUCUGUUAUUAGGGAAGAACAUAUGUGUAAGUAACUGUGCACAUCUUGACGGUACCUAAUCAGAAAGCCACGGCUAACUACGUG
RNAcentral lists this ribosomal RNA (497 nucleotides) under uncultured bacterium. RNAcentral describes it as "partial 16S ribosomal RNA". It matches the Rfam family "Bacterial small subunit ribosomal RNA", at positions 28 to 507 of the family's 1533-position model. The record is from RNAcentral.